RNAcentral lists this ribosomal RNA (120 nucleotides) under Pogona vitticeps (central bearded dragon). The record is from RNAcentral. Lineage: Eukaryota; Metazoa; Chordata; Lepidosauria; Squamata; Agamidae.
UUCCGCCGCAAUACCAUCACAAGCACAACAGAUCUCAUCUGAUUCCAGAAGCUAAGCAGAGUUGGCCUUGGUUGGAAAUUGGAUGGGAGGCUGUAAGCGGCCCCCAAGCAGCCCUAGGGA